GUCCAAACGAGUAUGACAUUGUUGCCGCCCGUAGCAUUGAAGGCAAGGGAAGCCAGCGAACAUCUGGCCUCCCUUAACAAAAACAGUAUAACAAUUUGUCAAUUGGCAUUGAGCUAAAUUGAGCGAGCUCAACUGUGAAUGGUUCUGGCGCACCAAAAAAAAGUGUCAUGGGAAGACAACUUGGAUUAGGUCAUUGACAGAAAAACUUGAAUUGUUGCAUCUCGUUGUGUUGUUGUCCUCCGGUGGCUAGCUAGCUAAAAUUGGCCCUUUCCUAAAUUAGCCUUGUAUGAAGAUAGGGAUUUGGACUUGUCGGGUUUACUUAAUUCUCCACACUGACCAAUGAUUAUAAUGGCGAUUCUGAUCCAACCAUUAAUACAUUGUUGUGUCCUUGGCUUGAGAGGAUGGAAGUUCAAUAUGUAGCUAGAUGUAGAAGGCUAAUGUUAACUAGCUAACGUUGCCCAUAAAUGGAAGUUAGGCUAGCGAACAAGCAUGUUAGCCAGGUAGCCUAGGACAACAAAAAAUAAAAGCGUAUACAGUAUGACAGACUAACAGACCGUUUUGUCAACAUGACAGAGAGGAGGAUGGCAUUGGCGUUUCUCUACAAGCAGGAUAUUUAAAAGUCUGGUACGGCAACUUUACUGCCGGUGACCGCAAGGCUCUACAGAGGGUGGUACGCUUAGCCAAACGCACCAUUGGGUGCACACACUGCCUGCCCUCCAGGACACAGAGAACACCAGGUGUAGCAGGAAUGCCAAGAACAA
This 761-nucleotide long non-coding RNA is filed under the name Salmo salar (Atlantic salmon). RNAcentral's name for it is "lncRNA (ENSSSAG00000115539.1)". The record is from RNAcentral. Lineage: Eukaryota; Metazoa; Chordata; Actinopteri; Salmoniformes; Salmonidae.